CUGCGCGUAAGAUGUAACGGGGCUCAAACUGAUAACCGAAGCUGCGGAUGGGCGCGUAAGCGUCCGUGGUAGGGGAGCGUUCUGUAGGUCUGUGAAGGUGUCUCGUAAGGGAUGCUGGAGAUAUCAGAAGUGCGAAUGCUGACAUGAGUAGCGAUAAAGCGGGUGAAAAGCCCGCUCGCCGAAAGCCCAAGGUUUCCUACGCAACGUUCAUCGGCGUAGGGUGAGUCGGCCCCUAAGGCGAGGCUGAAAAGCGUAGUCGAUGGGAAACGGGUUAAAAUUCCCGUACUUUUAUGCAGUGCG
RNAcentral lists this ribosomal RNA (300 nucleotides) under Bacillus sp. AFS015802. RNAcentral's name for it is "bacterial LSU rRNA". It matches the Rfam family "Bacterial large subunit ribosomal RNA", at positions 1159 to 1458 of the family's 2925-position model. Lineage: Bacteria; Bacillati; Bacillota; Bacilli; Caryophanales; Bacillaceae. The record is from RNAcentral.